This 880-nucleotide long non-coding RNA is filed under the name Pongo abelii (Sumatran orangutan). RNAcentral's name for it is "lincRNA". The record is from RNAcentral. Lineage: Eukaryota; Metazoa; Chordata; Mammalia; Primates; Hominidae.
CAACAUCAGUCUCCAGAGUGAAUCCAAGGAGAGGACCCAAGACAUUCAUGUUCUGUGAUGUGGUGACAUGUUACCUGUCAUCUCUGAUGCACAACUCCUAAAGUGUUUGCAUCUGGGGCAGUUGUACAGAUUGCAGAAGCUAAUACUCAAGAUGUUCUCCAAGGCCAACUACUCAUCAGUUUAUUCAUGUUUCUGGGAUUGGAUUCAUGAACUCAUCCUUUGAACUAUUUCAACAAGCUUUUUCAUGUAACUAAUCUGCGGAAGGUAGAAAGGGUAAAACUGUUGGGUGCUAAAAUGACAACUGGUUCAAGACCCAAGUAGGUGCUCACAGUCAGCCAGCUGUCCUGCAGGAAGAGAUUAAAGGAACUAGUUACCCAGGGAUCGUCUCCAUUCCUUCCAACUGAAAGGGAAACAAACAAGGAGGAGCACGCCUGGGGAGGUUUUCAUGGGCCAGGACUGGAAAUGCACAUUUCUCUUUUCCUCACAUUCCAAGCUCCCAAGAUGGUGGCGGGCCACUUCCAAAAUGGUGGCAGGCCACUUCCAAGAUGGUGGCAAGCCUCGCGUUCUCUGGCCUGGGGUUCUUGGCCUCACGGAUUCCAAGGAAUGGAAUCUUGGGCCAUGCAGAGGAGCAUCAGAUAAUUAGGCAGCAGUCCAACAAUUAGGUUUUGUGGAACUUUUACUAUGUCAUCUAUUUAUUGGAAUUCCCCCUGGAUACCAGGACCCCCUCCAGCAGAGCUUAAAGUUAUAGUGACAGGAAGUACAAAUUCCGUAUGUGGAUCCCUGGAAGUGUGAUGAGAGGAACCACUGUUUCCAAGAUCUAUUUAUUCUAUUUAUUAGGCCUAUAAAAUCAUGUAAUGACCAUGGCUUCAACUAGACUCUA